RNAcentral lists this ribosomal RNA (253 nucleotides) under uncultured bacterium. Its description in RNAcentral is "partial 16S ribosomal RNA". It matches the Rfam family "Bacterial small subunit ribosomal RNA", at positions 524 to 776 of the family's 1533-position model. The record is from RNAcentral.
GACAGAGGGUGCAAACGUUGUUCGGAAUUACUGGGCGUAAAGCGCGUGUAGGCGGCUUCGCAAGUCGGAUGUGAAAGCCCACGGCUCAACCGUGGAAGUGCACCCGAAACUGCGUGGCUUGAGUUCUGGAGAGGAAGGCGGAAUACUUGGUGUAGAGGUGAAAUUCGUAGAUAUCAAGCGGAACACCGGUGGCGAAGGCGGCCUUCUGGACAGUGACUGACGCUGAGACGCGAAAGCGUGGGGAGCAAACAGG